This is a non-coding RNA of Nicotiana tabacum (common tobacco), 1034 nucleotides long. The record is from RefSeq and is a predicted model, not a curated record. Lineage: Eukaryota; Viridiplantae; Streptophyta; Magnoliopsida; Solanales; Solanaceae.
UAUAAUUAUUGGUCUUGGACUACAUAUACAUAUUUUUACUUUUUCUCCAGUUGCGCCUUUUUUUCAUUAAAGCCCACGCUUUAUUUGCGCUUAAAGCUCCAACGGACCUUAGGGCUUUUUUGCGCUUUUCGCCUUUGAUAACACUGGUGUCCGGUACCCGCAUUAGGUCCCCGACUAAUCCGGAUUCUCACCGCGUAAGGCCCAUUAAAGGGGAAACACUCCCUACAGGAUGUCUUGUUUCUCAGAAUUCAUUGUCAGUAGUUUAGAUUCUAGAAAGCAUGCUCCUCUUGUAAAUUAUAAAUGGGUCUCAUUGUUCUGAAGUACUGCCCCAUGGAGUUGUUUCACUUGAAAAAAUCAGACACAAGUUUCCAAGAUAUUCAAUAGGAAAAAUGAUGUUCCAGAGAACAGACUGCUGUUAUGAGGUGACUUGUGAAUUGACUGAUUGCUAGAACUUGGCUUUACCGUACCACUGCAAAGCAUCAGUCAAGAAGUAAGUCCAGAACAUUUCUAUGCCGAUGGUGGAUAUACAGUCAGUGGUGGUCUCUGGAACGAUCUACUAAAGGUAAGGGAUUUCAACACACACUUGCAAAACCUAAAGAUUGGAUUCUCUCAAAUGUGCAGCCGCACUUAAUUCCUCUGAGGCACUGAAGAACAAAGCAGCAACAGAACAAAUCCCAACAUUGAUUAUAUCAUGUAUCCUUUAGUAUUGUUGUGUCUUUGUUUUGUAUUAUUAAAUUGUAAUUCCUAUACAGCUUUUAAGAAACAUUCAUAGGACAUCUUUUAAACCAUUAUCAUUGUGGUUGUUUUGACUAGAAUUAGUCAAGUGUGUAGCUUUGUAAUAGAGUUAUUACAAAGAGGCUUACAAUAUAUUUAUUGUAAAAAAGUGAGGGAUUAAGAGUUUAAUUCCUAGAUUGUAAUAGGUUGUAAUCUAAAGUUUGCUCAGUUAGUGAAAUUGAAAUCCUACUAGUGUAGGUCGUGGUUUUUAAUCAUGUGAGCUUGGAGUUUUCCACGUAAAUAUCGUUAUGAUCUUUACU